UUGUGGUUUGAGUAGUUUCCAUUCUUUGCUUUUUUCGAGAGGUUCGGACGCCACACUGACAUUUUCUCCUUCUGCUUUAAUAAAAACAGUUGGUGGUUCUUGGUCACUACUAUAUC
Molecule: transfer RNA, 116 nt
Filed under: Vibrio mediterranei AK1
Lineage: Bacteria; Pseudomonadati; Pseudomonadota; Gammaproteobacteria; Vibrionales; Vibrionaceae
Description: Vibrio shilonii AK1 tRNA-Ser
Source: RNAcentral